AACCCAUGGUGAGGGCACUGGUUUGUAUAGCUCCUGAAUAUCUCCCAAGUUUCACCAAAUGUCUCAUUGUUGUGUUGGGUAAAGGAUGAGAUCUGAUUUCGGAGCUU
Molecule: small nucleolar RNA, 107 nt
Organism: Eutrema salsugineum
Lineage: Eukaryota; Viridiplantae; Streptophyta; Magnoliopsida; Brassicales; Brassicaceae
Rfam family: Plant small nucleolar RNA R71
About the family: R71 is a member of the C/D box family of snoRNAs containing the C (UGAUGA) and D (CUGA) box motifs. Multiple nearly identical copies of this snoRNA have been identified in Arabidopsis, and it is thought to function as a 2'-O-ribose methylation guide for 18S ribosomal RNA.
Source: Rfam